CUGGCAUUGCGGCUGGGAUAGAUGUUUUCUCUGCAUUCUUCUUCCAGAACCUGGGAGGUGAGGAUGCGUGAAGCCAUUUAGGGCAGUAGAACACGUGACACAACGGAGGUGUUCCAAGCAUGUAUGUACUAGCGUCUGAGACACAAUUUAUCAGCUUCCCUGGUUCUCCACAGCCAGCCUGAGUAGGCAUCUGAGGCCCAGGCUUCCCGGGUCAAGGGCAGACUCUUUGCUGGGGAAGACACUGAACCCCCACCACAACAUAUUGUGUCUCAAAAGAGCUCAAUCUGAAUUAUAACAGCAGUCCCAGAAGAGAGCUUGCCUAAUGGCCUUACGUAUUUUCUUUCCUUUUUUAAACAACAAAUAGCGCACCGACAGUUGAUUUUGCGCUAGAAACUUGGUGUACACAAAGUUUAGAUUGAGUACAGCCAACAUUAUGCCAGGGCAGUUGCGAAGUUCCCACAGUAAGAAUUAGAUAGGGUCUCUCAGCACUGUGCGCUUCAGAGGCGAGAAAAAAGAGCUGACAUUGAAGCUGAUGGUGUUACUGAGUAAUGUCUCUGUCCGCAUAACGGCUUUAGCGCUCUCAUUUCCAAAUGUCGACUACGCUUUUUUUUUUUUUUUUCCGCUUUUCGAUUUUUUUUUUUUAAUUCAAUCUUUUUAAAAUGUAUAUUGACAUGGGUUAAAAAGCCUCGCUUCUGCUAUUCGGCUAGCACUUUCUGGAAAAGCCUCCAUUUCUUCCUUGACCCCGUUUCUUACGAGUAGUAGGGCAUUACUAUGUGUGUUUUGAAGGUUACAGCUGGCAUACAUACACCUGUUGUUCUUCCCAGCCAGGUGAUGGGCGAGGCUAAAGGAGAGUCCUGGACGAAGAAGUGGGCGGCCGGGUAGAGUCAGGUAGGUAGCACAUGGUCAAGCGACUGUGCGCAGGUGCAGCGUGGCCCCACCCACAUUAGGGGCUAGUGCGUCAGCCGCGCGCGACGGGAAGUUGACGCACUGACGUCGUACAGGGAGAUGUCCAGGAAGCCGGCUACCCCUCUACGUCUCUGGCAGCUUGGCCGCAAUUCUGCACACUUCUGUCCUCGCUGCAGGCCCCACCGUCCAGCCCAGACUCGAGCAAGCGAGCACCGAGAGGCCGAGCGCACCUCCCCUCUGGGUCCGUGGCGCAGUGUUGAUAUCAGAAGAAGGAAUUGAAGGAGACCUCAGACAACCCCCAAGAGCAAUAAGCAAGAUAUACCAGGUGCAUGAGGCUGAGAUGUGUCUCUGAGAAUAAACUAAGUGGAGACCCAGCGCCAUGUCUCUGCUGUCUCAGCGUCAUUCACUUUCUAAGAAAAGGGGAAAAAGCACUACAGAUUCCUUCCUGAGCCUAAUCCCAUCACCAGUGCCUCGUCUGAGAACUUCAGCCUAUCAUCUGCUCAUGAUUUCUCAUCCUUGGCUCUAAUUAAAUGAAUCUUAAUUUUCUUUCUACCUAAUAGCAUACACAUUAUUUUUUCUGGCACCCUGGGCUUAAAUCUUGGAGAAGGAAAAUGUUAAUCUUCACCAGACAGAUAAAGGAAAAUAAAGGAAGGAGAAGAAGACAUAAUCUUUUGUUAGUUUACAUAUUUCUACACAAUACUCCUAGACCAUCAGGAGACUCAGACAUCUGUGCUCCCAGAAGAAAUAGGUAGAAGCUGUCAACUAUGCAUGAUUUUCACCAUACUGGGGCAGAGGAUGAAGAAAGAUCUAGCUCUGUGGAUAUAUCAGAUUUACAAUUGGCACGCAAAUAAUUCAUCUAUGAAUAGGUGUUAGGUAUAUGAUGGGAUUAAUAAACAAAGAAGGUGGGAGAUCAAAAUAAAUACUUGACUCAGAAAUAUAAAAGGAAGCAAAAUGCCAUUUAUGAAACUUGUUAGCUAUCAAUCUUGAAUUCCAUCUUGUAUUACAGCUAUAUCUAAACCACUCUGAACUGCUAGCUGAGCAGCAGCAGUACCUAGGAUUAACUUCCUCAGCAUGGCCAUAGAAGCCCACACUCUAGCACUCUUGUCUUGGAGAGGUAAAUUUUGCUCCUUUCUUAUCUUGAGCAGUCUGUGUUUAUCAACAUUAUCUAAUUAAAUAACUGUCAUAAUAUUGACAAUAGAAUUAUUGCAUGGAGUAUGUGUGAGGUAAGCUUACGCCAGCCUGUACAUUUUCUUACUUAGUUUACAAAUAAUAAUAAAGCCACAUGUAACUAUUAACAUACCUCUUAAAUUCCUUGAGGCCAAGGACUGUGUUGUGACUUUUUCACAGACACAUCUUCAACAACUAAAGACCUUAGAAGAGGUAAUGACUGUUGAAUAACUUAGAGAAUACUGAGUCUUCUAAACUGCCUCCACUGCUUGAUACUCUGGGAGGGGGGUAGCUAAAGUAUUAUUUAAAAUACUCAUUUCUUGAAACAUUCAUCAUGUUUUCUAUACUGAUCUUAGCAUGGGAGUCAAUUAGGGAGUUUUUUUUUUCUCCUAAUACAGUUUCUGUCCUAUUGAUUCAGUAGGAAAUCUGCAUAUAACAAGUGCCCCAAUGACUGUAAUGUUCCAGUGAGUUUAGGAAAUGUUGCUUUAUCAAGCUGGCUCUCUGUAACCAAACCAAGUGGAGGACUCUGAAGGAAAGAGAAAAAGCCCAAGCCAGAAGGGCUGCUCAAAUAUGAGAGAUCUGGUUAAAUCUUGACAACAGAGCAGAAACCAAUAGACAGUAGAAAUCUACCUGUCCACGAGAAGCAGUGAUGAAUUAUAAAUCACUAUUGACCUGGACCACCUUGCCAAUUCCUGUACAUGGUUAUGCUGAAGGUCUGUGCAUUUCUGAUCCCACUAAUUUGAUUCUCAUCAUUUCCACCCUAAUUUGCCCAUUAAUACUUAUAUCAU
Sus scrofa (pig) is the source of this 2861-nucleotide non-coding RNA. The record is from RefSeq and is a predicted model, not a curated record. Lineage: Eukaryota; Metazoa; Chordata; Mammalia; Artiodactyla; Suidae.